Sinocyclocheilus anshuiensis is the source of this 578-nucleotide long non-coding RNA. RefSeq lists it as uncharacterized. NCBI's taxonomy places the organism in Eukaryota, Metazoa, Chordata, Actinopteri, Cypriniformes, Cyprinidae. The record is from RefSeq and is a predicted model, not a curated record. The transcript has 2 exons.
UGCUGUCGUUUGGCGCAAGUAGUCAGGUGAAAAUGACUAGUGACUACAAAGUUGUAAAGCUGCGCCUACAAUUAAUCACCGUCGGGCGCUGACAGCUCCACACACACACAAGGGCGUUUCUACAAGAAUCAAAGGUCGUUGGACAGUGGACCUAGUUUGUAUCGUGUAUUCCCCGAUCCAGGUAUAUUGUUGUUCGUCGUUUCACGUGAACGCGCCGGUAGCUGAUGUCAUUGGAACAGGUGCGCGAAACCCAAGUUGACAACAGUCGCCCUGCAUCGCGAGAGAUUACACACGGAUAAAGCGCUUGUUUGGAUCGUUUGAAGACGAUAUUUGAGAUCUACCAUAGAUUUUAAGGCAAUGAACAGCCCUUUUACCUUCGUGUGAGCUCGUGAUUCAAUUCCGUGAAUUUACGUGAUUUUUGACUGAACCAUCCAGGGAAUAUAUUUCAAGGACCGAGCAAUGCCGACUCCGAAGUUUUAAAACGUUUCUUUUUCACCAAGACGUGGGAAUUAAGUCGCUUUGCUUUACUGCUCUCUAAACGCGUUUGCAUUAGGAAAUAACCUGUUGUUAUCAUUUUU